GGAAGCUGCCUGCAAACUCCGGGAGCUCUUCUGACUCUUAACAAGGUCUUAAUAUGCUUUCAGAGAAAUGCCAACAAAAACUGUAGUCAUUUGGGGAAGAAUAAGUCUGGAAGAAAAAUACACAGAGGACUAGCACCAAGAGGAUGCAAUUUAACAGUAAAGAAGAGUCGGCCCACAUGUGACAAGUACUUACAUGCAACUCUGAAGUUUUCUUCUCUAUUUUAAAGAAGAAAGGGGAGAAAUGAAGAACAGGAUAAAGGCCUGAAAUCCCUUCUCCAGAAAGAGAGAGAGCGAGAGAGCUGUCAACACAGAGC
This is a long non-coding RNA of Suricata suricatta (meerkat), 314 nucleotides long. RefSeq lists it as uncharacterized. NCBI's taxonomy places the organism in Eukaryota, Metazoa, Chordata, Mammalia, Carnivora, Herpestidae. The record is from RefSeq and is a predicted model, not a curated record. The transcript has 3 exons.